CAAGAUCAUGGCUGUAGGAGGGGUAGGCCCAUUAUGAAGUCAUAUUGUGAAAUCAAGCGUAAUAGUUUCUCAGAGGAAUUUCAGGCUAAUAUUUAGGCAAGAUAUCCUUUUGGUUCUGUAGUUGUUUUGACAUGUUAUGGAUGAUAUUGUGUGGAGGAUAUCAUAUUCAAAAAAGGUGCCCUAGAAGUUCUUGGGCUAUGUCCUAUCCUCUGAAUAAACUCUGGAGACUUGCUGGGGUAUCCGUGUAGCAGAGAUACAGAUGUAUGUGUGUGUGUAGUUCCCCAGAAAGUGAAAGCUGGUUGUUUUGACAAACCAGCCUCAUUCUUCAUACCAUGCACGUUUAGGAGCAGCUGCUGUAAAAUUACUGGGACCCAGAAGAAAUCAAAGUGCAUUCAACUUGCAUAAUUUGUCCUGAGGCUCAAGGAAAGGAAUCCUGGAACCCUGAGGAAGAGAGCUAUAUGGAGGCUCCAAAUUGACUGACCUUAACAUGAAGCCUGUUUAAUUCAGACAGCUCAGCUUCCCCAAAU
Molecule: long non-coding RNA, 527 nt
Organism: Heterocephalus glaber (naked mole-rat)
Lineage: Eukaryota; Metazoa; Chordata; Mammalia; Rodentia; Bathyergidae
Source: Ensembl